RNAcentral lists this ribosomal RNA (514 nucleotides) under Papiliotrema flavescens. Its description in RNAcentral is "eukaryotic LSU rRNA". It matches the Rfam family "Eukaryotic large subunit ribosomal RNA", at positions 81 to 601 of the family's 3401-position model. Lineage: Eukaryota; Fungi; Basidiomycota; Tremellomycetes; Tremellales; Rhynchogastremaceae. The record is from RNAcentral.
UAGUAACGGCGAGUGAACCGGGAAGAGCUCAAAUUUGAAAUCUGGCGUGCUCAGUGCGUCCGAGUUGUAAUCUAUAGAGUCGUUUUCCGUGCCGGACUGUGUCCAAGUCCCUUGGAACAGGGUAUCAAAGAGGGUGAUAAUCCCGUACUUGACACAAUGACCGGUGCUCUGUGAUACGUCUUCUACGAGUCGAGUUGUUUGGGAAUGCAGCUCAAAAUGGGUGGUGAGUUCCAUCUAAAGCUAAAUAUUGGCGAGAGACCGAUAGCGAACAAGUACCGUGAGGGAAAGAUGAAAAGCACUUUGGAAAGAGAGUUAAACAGUACGUGAAAUUGUUAAAAGGGAAACGAUUGAAGUCAGUCGUGACUGAGAGGCUCAGCCGGUUCUGCCGGUGUAUUCCCCUCAGUCGGGUCAACAUCAGUUUUGUUCGGUGGAUAAGGGCAGUUGGAAGGUGGCACCCUCGGGUGUGUUAUAGCCAACUGUCGCAUACAUCGGAUGAGACUGAGGAAUGCAGCUC